GCUGGAGGGAAUGUGGAACUGAGAUCUGGCCCUUAGUAUAAUCUUCUCGUCUCUUUCUCUCUCCCUCUCCCUCUCUUUCUGUAUAGAUCUGGCACGGCCUUGCUCUCUCGACUCCCAGAUCUUUGUUUCGGUGGCGGCGGCCAGAAAGAGUAAGAGAGCGCUGUGCUCUCAUUUCCCUCUGUCCCCCCCCCCUUUAAAAGUCUCCUCUUCCAACUUUCCUCCAGUUAUUCCCUCCUCAACCCGACUGACAGCAUUUGCUGAAAAAUCUACAGCUUUGUUUGUCUUAUAUGGUGGAAAUAUGGUCAUUUGCAUUGAGAAGACCUGCCAGAAUAGCAGAACAUCUGGAAAGCUGCCCAAAGUCACCAAUUCAUCAAGCCUGUUCCCCAUCUACCUGAAGCAAAUUCUAAUCAAGCAGAACAUACAAACUGGAAGAAGAAGCAACUCAUGGAGUUCUCUAGCAGCUCUUCUUCCCUACAAACGAUGUUGUGAAUCAUUAACAGACUUCAAAGCAAACAGACUAGACAGGAAGACAUUGGGCAUCAUUCCCUGGUUGAACAAACAUCUGAUCUAUAUUGUUCUCCUCAUGNGUUGAUCACAACAAAAAGAAUUCAAAGAAGUUACCAAACCUAUUACAAU
Molecule: long non-coding RNA, 636 nt
Filed under: Salvator merianae (Argentine black and white tegu)
Lineage: Eukaryota; Metazoa; Chordata; Lepidosauria; Squamata; Teiidae
Description: lncRNA (ENSSMRG00000017948.1)
Source: RNAcentral